CCCUGACACUCAUGUUAUUGGAUGAAUGCCU
This 31-nucleotide non-coding RNA is filed under the name Mus musculus (house mouse). The record is from RNAcentral. Lineage: Eukaryota; Metazoa; Chordata; Mammalia; Rodentia; Muridae.